This 184-nucleotide non-coding RNA is filed under the name Aplanochytrium sp. PBS07. The record is from RNAcentral. Lineage: Eukaryota; Bigyra; Thraustochytrida; Thraustochytriidae.
AACUUACAGCUGGAAAAGGAAAGCAAUCUGGAAGCGAAAAAAGUCAAGGGAAAAACUGGCAAAAUGCUGUUAUGCUCGUUGUUCCUCUUUUUCAUGCUACUGGACUUCACGCUGUUUUUCUAACCUCAUUCCUAGCCGCUAGGAAAAUUGUAAUGUUGUACAAAUGGGAUCCAGAGAAUGCUCU